UACGUAGGGGGCAAGCGUUGUCCGGAAUCAUUGGGCGUAAAGCGCGUGUAGGCGGCUCGAUAAGUCUGCUGUGAAAGUCCAGGGCUCAACCCUGGGAUGCCGGUGGAAACUGUCGGGCUAGAGUCCGGAAGAGGCGAGUGGAAUUCCUGGUGUAGCGGUGAAAUGCGCAGAUAUCAGGAGGAACACCGAUGGCGAAGGCAGGUCUCUGGGCAUUAACUGACGCUGAGGAGCGAAAGCAUGGGGAGCGAACAGG
Molecule: ribosomal RNA, 253 nt
Filed under: uncultured bacterium
Lineage: Bacteria
Description: partial 16S ribosomal RNA
Rfam family: Bacterial small subunit ribosomal RNA
Source: RNAcentral